CCUACGGGGGGCAGCAGUGAGGAAUAUUGGUCAAUGGGCGCGAGCCUGAACCAGCCAAGUAGCGUGAAGGAUGACUGCCCUACGGGUUGUAAACUGCUUUUAUAAAGGAAUAAAGUGAGGCACGUGUGCCUUUUUGUAUGUACUUUAUGAAUAAGGAUUGGCUAACUCCGUGCCAGCAGCCGCGGUAAUACGGAGGAUCCGAGCGUUAUCCGGAUUUAUUUGGUUUAAAGGGAGCGUAGAUGGGUUGUUAAGUCAGUUUUGAAAGUUUGCUGCUCAACCGUACAAUUGCAAUUGAUACUGGCAGUCUUGAGUACAGUUGAGGUAGGCGGAAUUCUUGGUGUAGCGGUGUCAUGCUUCGAUAUCACGCAGAACUCCGAUUGCGAAGGCAGCUUACUAAACUGCCACUGACAUUGAUGCUCGAAAGUGUGUGUAUCAAACAGGAUUCGAUACCCCUGUAGUC
Molecule: ribosomal RNA, 460 nt
Filed under: uncultured bacterium
Lineage: Bacteria
Description: partial 16S ribosomal RNA
Rfam family: Bacterial small subunit ribosomal RNA
Source: RNAcentral